CCCCCUGCCUGCUGCCACUUGAGGGGGAGGCCCUGCUCCCCGCAGGUCCCCAUCACAUCUCCUCACAAAACAUCACCACUGCACUGAACUUUUGCCUUUUGCACAAGUUCAAGCUCCUGCCUGACUGGAAUUUUUCUCCCUUGAAUGCAGCUGUCCAGGUGCAGAAGAGAAGGCUUCUUGAACUCUCCUCUUCUCCAAGAGUAAGGCCACUGGGAUAGCCUGCAAGACAGAAAAACAUCACAGAAAACUGUUCUCUUGGCUUUGCUUCAGAACAGAGAAAAAUCAACUUUCCCAGCCUUCUCUACCUCAGAGUUUGCCAUGGGGCCCAGCAGCAGUCUGGCAGCAUGGACAGAGGCCAGUCUGCACCAGAGAAUACCAGGAUGGACAGCAGAGAUGAAUCUUUGUGGAAAGAGAACAGAAGAGAGUCCCAGAGCCACAGCAGCUGGAUCUUCAGGAAUGUCCCUGGAGACUGCACUGACUGGAGCUCUCAGGCAGGAGCUCGGCAGCACGAGAAAUGUUUGAGUGAUGCUGCAGCCUCCUCUCAUUCCAUAAGAGCCAUCCUUUAACCUCAGCUUCUCUCAGUGCACUGAGAGAGUAUUCUGAGGUUUGUUCUUCAAUGUCAAACAGAAAUAAGUUCAAUGAUUAAAAAAAGCCCUGUUUGACAUGUAUUUAUAAAAACAAUAUCACAUUUGUUUAAGAGGCAACCAUAUUGCUCAAUGCAAUGCCAACACUAAAAAGACACAAAAUACAGACAACUAAAAACUUUAACAGAUUAAAGCAUAUGAACAGGAAAUACAAAAAUGAUUGACAGUGACUGUUGAUAACUAACUGAUAAAAAACUAAGUUUAUUUGUAAAUAACAGUAUCCCAACUCAUAAUAAUUUACAUUUUAAGAAAUUCAGCCAUCAAGCCUGUAAUACAAAUUUCCUGUUUGUCAUUUUCUCCCUCAAUUUGAAAGCUUUCUCAUGCUUGUUGUACAACUGGGAAAAUUCUUCAGCAUCACCCAAGUUUGGCAUCAAACCUAGCAUGAUAGGUUGCACAGAUAUAUUAACUGAGAUAAAUUAAUUAGUUCAAGUCCUAUUGUAGAUCCUGUUGUAGAUUACAAAUAUCUGUAUGUUAGGAGUGUCUGUGGCAAUCAGCACUCAGUCAGUUUUGAAAUAUAUAACUUCCUAAACAAAAGCACAGCAUUAAAAAAACUCACACAGGCUUUUUUCCUAACAAGCCUUUGGUGUUAAAUGACAUUACUCUAGAUUUAUCAAAAUAAUGAAGAUGUGUUCAGCUUAUGUUAUGAUCUCCUACUUUAGCUGAGUGAACUCACAAAAAGAAACAGUUACUGUGUUUACUAUUAUUUAUUUUUAUUAUUAUCAUUAUUUCAAUAAUAGUGAAAUGCAGAUAAGUAUUUGGCUAGUGGAAAUUUUAGCAUGAGCUCCAAAUAUUUCACACAUAUUUAGCAUACUGAUUCCAGACACGGAGAAACAAAUUAGCAGAUAAGUAUUGUCAUAAUCAUUAGUUAAAAUACUCUGAUACAAACUAGUGUCAGCUCCCACUUUCAGAGCCAAGGAAAAUAUUCAUAAGCUUUUACUUCCUAUAGUAGAAAAUUCACUGUUAACUAGGAUUCAAAUCCCAUGUGUUCAGUCUCCCUACAAAUACAAGUCCUCUUUUAGGGAUUCUAUCAAAAAGCUCUCACUGGUAAAAAAAAAAAUAAUAGAAAUACACCAUGAUAAAAUGCCUUUAAUCAGAAGGAGCUAAAGGUAUUGAAACCUGCAACAGCAGCUGCAGAAAAAAAUAAUCAUAAGUGCAGCUGACCUUCAUUUCUUGUAGUCACAGUCAUCUGAGACGAUAUUAUUUUCUCUUAAAUUAUAAAACACACAAUUAUUGAUUCUUUUUGCAUGUUUCUUACCUCUUAUAUACCACACACUUUAACACACAUAUAUUUUGUAACUUUGCAUUAAAAUAAUAGUUAGAUGAUAACGAGGUAAGGUAGACCAAUUUAAAACCUUGUAAGGCCAUUAAGAACUUACUAGUAGAAAAACAGAAGCUAGCAGAAGAAAUUAUUCACCACACUUUCACAUCUGGGCUUGCAAAAGUAUCUUCUGCAACUCUCGUGC
Passer domesticus (house sparrow) is the source of this 2107-nucleotide long non-coding RNA. RefSeq lists it as uncharacterized. Lineage: Eukaryota; Metazoa; Chordata; Aves; Passeriformes; Passeridae. The transcript has 3 exons. The record is from RefSeq and is a predicted model, not a curated record.